Molecule: non-coding RNA, 1933 nt
Organism: Lactuca sativa (garden lettuce)
Lineage: Eukaryota; Viridiplantae; Streptophyta; Magnoliopsida; Asterales; Asteraceae
Source: RefSeq, a predicted model, not a curated record
UCAAGAGUCUUUCUCUCCUUAUCCCCCGAGCAUUUCGGUCCCUCGUGAUUCGACUUCUCUUUCUGUAGUUUUAGUAUAGUAAGGUGAGCGCUGAAGCGCUGCACGAAUCUUUCUUAGAAAGAUUUAGCGACGAAGUUCUGCCCCUACAGAGCCCGACUCCUAGCUAAAAUCCCCUUGUAAGUUUCGUCGAAGGAAAUUAUUUUAAAGUAAACGAAGCGCUGUCCGAGUACCGAGUCACCACCUUCUCAAGUGUUGAUAUGAAGUGACACUACACUGAGAGAUUUAAAGAGAUGUAGAUCACUAGUGUAAAUAAUUGUAUAUUAUUGUGACACCCGGCUCCAUCCCGUACUUGAGGCUAAUACGAUCCUUGUGAUAACUACUUGUAUUUCAUAGUGCUAAUGUACACCAAGAAUGUUGUAAAAUUUUAAAUGAGUAAGGAAAUUUUUGGGGUGUGCUUCUAUGAAAUCAUGGGCGUUACAAAUUGUAGGGGGAUCGUAGCAACGAAAGUGAUUGUAAGACUAUGGGUGGAUCGUAACAUUCAUAUGGGUUGAAAUAUACCCCUAGGGUGGGGCCCACUGUUAUGCAUGGUAUCAGGUAUUUUAGGGAACUCACUAAGUUUUAUGCUUACAAUUUUAAGUUUAAAUGGUAUAGGUCUUUUUGGCAGUUCAAGAAGAGCACAACAUGAUUACAUCGCAUCUGCUGUUAUAUUUUGAAGAUGUUUCGCAUUAUAAUAUUAAUACUCUAGUUUAUGUUUUCGAAACAAUUGAAUAUUGACUUUUAUGAAUGAAUUAUAUGGUCUCCUUGGAUUUAGAUAUGAAAAUUUUGGUUUAAAAUUUGGGACUUAUAAGUUGAUAUCAGAGUCGUAGUUUUAGAGAUUCAGACGCACUCUAUAGUGUGUUUGAAAUCAAACUGAGGACCGAAGGAUUUAUUUUUACAAAAACAUUUUUUUGUAAAGUUUUUACAAAAUAAAAGGACGUGAUGCGUUCAAUAACCCGAAUCUCAAGUAAGUGAUUUCCAGAAUAACCCAUACAUGUUGAUAUGUUAUAUGUGUUAUAGUAUGAUAUGCAUGAUAGAAGUUAGAAUAAGGAUCUGCUCAGGGUUACAUGCUAGAAUGCCUACUUAGGAGAGAUGCAUUUUUGUGUCUAAUAUGUGAAUUGUUAGAGAUGCAUGAUAGUGUGUACGCUAAGGAUCUUCAAGAAUUACAUUGUAACACCCGAUUCCUGGUACGUAUUUAAACUUAAUUAAUUGUAUGUUUUUACACCGGGACUCGGCGAGUUAGAGACCCAACUCGUCGAGUGGACUAGACUGUUGGACGCAGCUUUUAAGUAACCUACUCGACGAGUCGGAGAGCCGAAUCGGCGAGUAGGACUGUCUGGAUGAAACCCUAAUAUUUAGGGUUUGCACCCUAUUUAAAAACCUUAUCUUGUCCCAACCCAGCCUCCAUCGUCCCUCCUCGUCCAUAGAAGCCCUAAUUUGAAACCCUAAUCAAUUAUUGAUUGUUCUUGAGCUUUUUGGUGCCUUUUGUGUGUUCAUGAAGUUAGAAAAGAAGAAGGAAGCUUGAGAGAUCAAGAGGAAGCAAGAAGAUCCAUAAGUUUUGGCGCAUUUCCAACUCAUUUGAUGUAUAAAGUUGAAACCUUGACCAUCUAUCUUUUAGAUCUCUAGUUAGGGUUCAUUUCUACCUUUUCUAACUUUAAAAGUGCCAUAUUCGGGAUUUUGGGGUUAUCAAGGGGUAUGACUUCAGAUUUGGAACCAUUGAGGGUUCCUAUGGCAUAAAGGUGUCAACUUUAUUGCCACAAGAGCCCCAUGCAUCUUGUAGACUCCAUUUUAGGGCCAUUUUGUCACACCCCAAAACCAUGAACGGUGGAAAUGUUCUGGGGCGGAGGACGUCAUGUACAGUAUCACAACAAUGAAUAGUAGUAAACAAGCAACAACA